AUACGUAGGUGGCAAGCGUUAUCCGGAAUUAUUGGGCGUAAAGAGGGAGCAGGCGGCAGCAAGGGUCUGUGGUGAAAGCCUGAAGCUUAACUUCAGUAAGCCAUAGAAACCAGGCAGCUAGAGUGCAGGAGAGGAUCGUGGAAUUCCAUGUGUAGCGGUGAAAUGCGUAGAUAUAUGGAGGAACACCAGUGGCGAAGGCGACGAUCUGGCCGGCAACUGGCGCUCAGUCCCGAAAGCGUGGGGAACAAAUAGGAUUAGAUACCCAAGUAAUCCACGCCGUAAACGAUGAGUACUAAGUGUUGGAUGUCAAAGUUCAGUGCUGCAGUUAACGCAAUAAGUACUCCGCCUGAGUAGUACGUUCGCAAGAAUGAAACUCAAAGGAAUUGACGGGG
This 392-nucleotide ribosomal RNA is filed under the name uncultured bacterium. Its description in RNAcentral is "partial 16S ribosomal RNA". It matches the Rfam family "Bacterial small subunit ribosomal RNA", at positions 523 to 918 of the family's 1533-position model. The record is from RNAcentral.